This 211-nucleotide long non-coding RNA is filed under the name Citrus maxima (pomelo). Its description in RNAcentral is "long non-coding RNA (CMAX_LNC001863)". Lineage: Eukaryota; Viridiplantae; Streptophyta; Magnoliopsida; Sapindales; Rutaceae. The record is from RNAcentral.
CUAGUUGUACGUUUAGAUGAGUUUCAGCCUCUAACUUCGAUUCUCCUUCCAAUGGAUACUUUGCUUCUUGGACAUGGAAAAUGAUGACCAUGAAUGGCUGCUGUAGGCUUUAACGUUUUGUAUGGAUACUUUGCUUCUUGGACAUGGAAAAUGAUGACCAUGAAUGGCUACUGUAGGCUUUAAAGUUUUGUACUUUUGAAUUUAAAAUUUG